GACGAACCGUGCGAACGUUAUUCGGAAUCACUGGGCUUAAAGCGCGUGUAGGCGGAUGAGCACGUCUGUCGCUGAAAUCCCCCGGCUCAACCGGGGAACGGGCGUGGAUACGGCUUGUCUGGAGGGGCGUAGGGGGACCUGGAACUUCCGGUGGAGCGGUGAAAUGCGUUGAGAUCGGAAGGAACGCCCGUGGCGAAAGCGAGGUCCUGGACGCCUACUGACACUGAGGAACGAAAGCCAGGGGAGCAAACGGG
Molecule: ribosomal RNA, 254 nt
Filed under: uncultured bacterium
Lineage: Bacteria
Description: partial 16S ribosomal RNA
Rfam family: Bacterial small subunit ribosomal RNA
Source: RNAcentral